Molecule: ribosomal RNA, 1221 nt
Filed under: metagenome
Description: bacterial SSU rRNA
Rfam family: Bacterial small subunit ribosomal RNA
Source: RNAcentral
GCGGGUCUGAGAGGAUGAUCCGCCACACUGGAACUGAGACACGGUCCAGACUCCUACGGGAGGCAGCAGUGGGGAAUUUUGGACAAUGGGGGCAACCCUGAUCCAGCCAUGCCGCGUGAGUGAAGAAGGCCUUCGGGUUGUAAAGCUCUUUCGGCCGGGAAGAAAUCGUAUGGGUUAAUACCCUGUGCGGAUGACGGUACCGGCAUAAGAAGCACCGGCUAACUACGUGCCAGCAGCCGCGGUAAUACGUAGGGUGCGAGCGUUAAUCGGAAUUACUGGGCGUAAAGCGUGCGCAGGCGGUUUUGUAAGACAGGCGUGAAGUCCCCGGGCUCAACCUGGGAACUGCGCUUGUGACUGCAAGGCUAGAGUAUGGCAGAGGGGGGUGGAAUUCCACGUGUAGCAGUGAAAUGCGUAGAGAUGUGGAGGAACACCAAUGGCGAAGGCAGCCCCCUGGGCCAAUACUGACGCUCAUGCACGAAAGCGUGGGUAGCAAACAGGAUUAGAUACCCUGGUAGUCCACGCCCUAAACGAUGUCAACUAGGUGUUGGGUGGGUAAAACCAUUUAGUACCGGAGCUAACGCGUGAAGUUGACCGCCUGGGGAGUACGGCCGCAAGGUUAAAACUCAAAGGAAUUGACGGGGACCCGCACAAGCGGUGGAUGAUGUGGAUUAAUUCGAUGCAGCGCGAAAAACCUUACCUACCCUUGACAUGUCCAGGAGCCUGAAGAGAUUUGGGUGUGCCCGAAAGGGAACUGGAACACAGGUGCUGCAUGGCUGUCGUCAGCUCGUGUCGUGAGAUGUUGGGUUAAGUCCCGCAACGAGCGCAACCCUUGUCGUUAAUUGCCAUCAUUUAGUUGGGCACUUUAACGAGACUGCCGGUGACAAACCGGAGGAAGGUGGGGAUGACGUCAAGUCCUCAUGGCCCUUAUGGGUAGGGCUUCACACGUCAUACAAUGGUCGGUACAAAGGGUUGCCAACCCGCGAGGGGGAGCCAAUCCCAGAAAGCCGAUCGUAGUCCGGAUCGCAGGCUGCAACUCGCCUGCGUGAAGUCGGAAUCGCUAGUAAUCGUGGAUCAGCAUGUCACGGUGAAUACGUUCCCGGGUCUUGUACACACCGCCCGUCACACCAUGGGAGCGGGUUCCGCCAGAAGUAGGUAGCCUAACCGCAAGGGGGGCGCUUACCACGGCGGGGUUCGUGACUGGGGUGAAGUCGUAACAAGGUA